CCUACGGGAGGCAGCAGUGGGGAAUAUUGGGCAAUGGGCGCAAGCCUGACCCAGCAACGCCGCGUGAAGGAAGAAGGCUUUCGGGUUGUAAACUUCUUUUCUCAGGGACGAAGAAAGUGACGGUACCUGAGGAAUAAGCCACGGCUAACUACGUGCCAGCAGCCGCGGUAAUACGUAGGUGGCAAGCGUUAUCCGGAUUUAUUGGGUGUAAAGGGCGUGUAGGCGGGAGCGCAAGUCAGAUGUGAAAACUCAGGGCUCAACCCUGAGCCUGCCUUUGAAACUGUAGUUCUUGAGUACUGGAGAGGCAGACGGAAUUCCUAGUGUAGCGGUGAAAUGCGUAGAUAUUAGGAGGAACACCAGUGGCGAAGGCGGUCUGCUGGACAGCAACUGACGCUGAGGCGCGAAAGCGUGGGGAGCAAACAGGAUUAGAUACCCCGGUAGUC
RNAcentral lists this ribosomal RNA (443 nucleotides) under uncultured bacterium. RNAcentral's name for it is "partial 16S ribosomal RNA". It matches the Rfam family "Bacterial small subunit ribosomal RNA", at positions 338 to 795 of the family's 1533-position model. The record is from RNAcentral.